Molecule: unclassified non-coding RNA, 345 nt
Filed under: soil metagenome
Description: partial contains 5.8S ribosomal RNA, internal transcribed spacer 2, and large subunit ribosomal RNA
Rfam family: 5.8S ribosomal RNA (bases 1-120)
Source: RNAcentral
GAUGAAGAACGUAGCGAAAUGCGAUACGUAAUGUGAAUUGCAGAAUUCAGUGAAUCAUCGAGUCUUUGAACGCACAUUGCGCCCCCUGGUAUUCCGGGGGGCAUGCCUGUCCGAGCGUCAUUGCUGCCCUCAAGCACGGCUUGUGUGUUGGGCCUCCGUCCUCCUCCCGGGGGACGGGCCCGAAAGGCAGCGGCGGCACCGCGUCCGGUCCUCGAGCGUAUGGGGCUUCGUCACCCGCUCUUGUAGGCCCGGCCGGCGCUUGCCGACACAUCAAGCUUUUUUCCAGGUUGACCUCGGAUCAGGUAGGGAUACACGCUGAACUUAAGCAUAUCAAUAAGCGGAGGA